This 440-nucleotide ribosomal RNA is filed under the name uncultured bacterium. Its description in RNAcentral is "partial 16S ribosomal RNA". It matches the Rfam family "Bacterial small subunit ribosomal RNA", at positions 338 to 795 of the family's 1533-position model. The record is from RNAcentral.
CCUACGGGGUGCUGCAGUAGGGAAUAUUGCUCAAUGGGGGAAACCCUGAAGCAGCAACGCCGCGUGGAGGAUGAAGGUUUUCGGAUUGUAAACUCCUUUUGUUAGAGAAGAUAAUGACGGUAUCUAACGAAUAAGCACCGGCUAACUCCGUGCCAGCAGCCGCGGUAAUACGGAGGGUGCAAGCGUUACUCGGCAUCACUGGGCGGAAAGAGCGCGUAGGCGGGAUAGCAAGUCAGAUGUUAAAUCCUAUGGCUUAACCAUAGAACUGCAUUUGAAACUGUUAUUCUAGAGUAUGGGAGAGGUAGGUGGAAUUCUUGGUGUAGGGGUAAAAUCCGUAGAGAUCAAGAGGAAUACUCAUUGCGAAGGCGACCUGCUAGAACAUAACUGACGCUGAUGCGCGAAAGCGUGGGGAGCAAACAGGAUUAGAUACCCGAGUAGUC